UCCCUGGUGGUCCGGAGGUUAGGACUCUGAGCUUCCAUCUCAGAGGGCACUGGUUUGAUCCCUGUCUGGGGAA
Molecule: transfer RNA, 73 nt
Filed under: Bos taurus (domestic cattle)
Lineage: Eukaryota; Metazoa; Chordata; Mammalia; Artiodactyla; Bovidae
Also listed under: 2 other names
Rfam family: tRNA
About the family: Transfer RNA (tRNA) molecules are approximately 80 nucleotides in length.
Source: Rfam by way of RNAcentral